GAUGAACGCUGGCGGCGUGCUUAACACAUGCAAGUCGAACGAUGAAGCCCAGCUUGCUGGGUGGAUUAGUGGCGAACGGGUGAGUAACACGUGAGUAACCCGCCCUUAACUCUGGGAUAAGCCUGGGAAACUGGGUCUAUUACCGGAUAGGAGCGUCCACCGCAUGGUGGGUGUUGGAAAGAUUUAUCGGUGUUGGAUGGACUCGCGGCCUAUCAGCUUGUUGGUGAGGUAAUGGCUCACCAAGGCGACGACGGGUAGCCGGCCUGAGAGGGUGACCGGCCACACUGGGGCUGAGACACGGCCCAGACUCCUACGGGAGGCAGCAGUGGGGAAUAUUGCACAAUGGGCGCAAGCGUGAUGCAGCGACGCCACGUGAGGGAUGACGGCCUUCGGGUUGUAAACCUCGUUCAGUAGUGAAGAAGCGAAAGAGACGGUACCUGCAGAAGAAGCACCGGCUAACUACGUG
RNAcentral lists this ribosomal RNA (466 nucleotides) under uncultured bacterium. Its description in RNAcentral is "partial 16S ribosomal RNA". It matches the Rfam family "Bacterial small subunit ribosomal RNA", at positions 28 to 507 of the family's 1533-position model. The record is from RNAcentral.